This 600-nucleotide ribosomal RNA is filed under the name uncultured bacterium. Its description in RNAcentral is "bacterial SSU rRNA". It matches the Rfam family "Bacterial small subunit ribosomal RNA", at positions 115 to 736 of the family's 1533-position model. The record is from RNAcentral.
GCAUAGAUAAUGUGCCCCUUAGUUCGGGAUAGCCACUGGAAACGGUGAUUAAUACGGGAUACUCCUUCUUGUUAUAAGACAAGUCGGGAAAGUUUUUCGCUAAGGGAUCAGUCUAUGUUCCAUCAGCUUGUUGGUGAGGUAAUGGCUCACCAAGGCUAUGACGGAUAUCUGGUUUGAGAGGAUGAUCAGACACACUGGAACUGAGACACGGUCCAGACUCCUACGGGAGGCAGCAGUGAGGAAUAUUGCACAAUGGAGGAAACUCUGAUGCAGCAACGCCGCGUGGAGGAUGACGCAUUUCGGUGUGUAAACUCCUUUUAUUAGGGAAGAUAAUGACGGUACCUAAUGAAUAAGCACCGGCUAACUCCGUGCCAGCAGCCGCGGUAAUACGGAGGGUGCAAGCGUUACUCGGAAUCACUGGGCGUAAAGGGUGCGUAGGCUGGCUUUUAAGUCAGAUGUGAAAUCCAAUGGCUCAACCAUUGAACUGCAUUUGAAACUGAAAGCCUAGAGUUCAGAAGGGGCAGAUGGAAUUAGUGGUGUAGGGGUAAAGUCCGUAGAUAUCACUAGGAAUAUCAAAAGCGAAGGCGAUCUGCUGGGAUG